Molecule: long non-coding RNA, 255 nt
Filed under: Volvox carteri
Lineage: Eukaryota; Viridiplantae; Chlorophyta; Chlorophyceae; Chlamydomonadales; Volvocaceae
Description: long non-coding RNA (VCAR_LNC002380)
Source: RNAcentral
GGGGGGACGGGGGGAGGACAAUCCCCUCAGCGUUGGUGGACCUUUCCCCUCCAUACACCCCUCUUACACACUGGCCAGCGUUAGGCCCAGAUCGAUAUAUACAUACAUACAUACAUACAUACAUACAUACAUACAUACAUACAUACAUACAUACAUACAUACAUACAUACAUACAUACAUACAUACAUACAUACAUACAUACAUGCAUACAUACAUACAUACAUACAUACAUACAUACAUACAUACAUACAUACA